This 1434-nucleotide ribosomal RNA is filed under the name Klebsiella pneumoniae. RNAcentral describes it as "partial 23S ribosomal RNA". It matches the Rfam family "Bacterial large subunit ribosomal RNA", at positions 1528 to 2925 of the family's 2925-position model. The record is from RNAcentral. Lineage: Bacteria; Pseudomonadati; Pseudomonadota; Gammaproteobacteria; Enterobacterales; Enterobacteriaceae.
UUAUCCAGGCAAAUCCGGAUAAUCAAGGCUGAGGUGUGAUGACGAGGCACUACGGUGCUGAAGUAACAAAUGCCCUGCUUCCAGGAAAAGCCUCUAAGCAUCAGGUAACAUCAAAUCGUACCCCAAACCGACACAGGUGGUCAGGUAGAGAAUACCAAGGCGCUUGAGAGAACUCGGGUGAAGGAACUAGGCAAAAUGGUGCCGUAACUUCGGGAGAAGGCACGCUGGUGUGUAGGUGAAGCCCCUGCGGGUGGAGCUGAGACCAGUCGAAGAUACCAGCUGGCUGCAACUGUUUAUUAAAAACACAGCACUGUGCAAACACGAAAGUGGACGUAUACGGUGUGACGCCUGCCCGGUGCCGGAAGGUUAAUUGAUGGGGUUAUCCGUAAGGAGAAGCUCUUGAUCGAAGCCCCGGUAAACGGCGGCCGUAACUAUAACGGUCCUAAGGUAGCGAAAUUCCUUGUCGGGUAAGUUCCGACCUGCACGAAUGGCGUAAUGAUGGCCAGGCUGUCUCCACCCGAGACUCAGUGAAAUUGAACUCGCUGUGAAGAUGCAGUGUACCCGCGGCAAGACGGAAAGACCCCGUGAACCUUUACUAUAGCUUGACACUGAACAUUGAGCCUUGAUGUGUAGGAUAGGUGGGAGGCUUUGAAGCGUGGACGCCAGUCUGCGUGGAGCCAACCUUGAAAUACCACCCUUUAAUGUUUGAUGUUCUAACGUUGGCCCCUUACCGGGGUUGCGGACAGUGUCUGGUGGGUAGUUUGACUGGGGCGGUCUCCUCCCAAAGCGUAACGGAGGAGCACGAAGGUUAGCUAAUCCUGGUCGGACAUCAGGAGGUUAGUGCAAUGGCAUAAGCUAGCUUGACUGCGAGCGUGACGGCGCGAGCAGGUGCGAAAGCAGGUCAUAGUGAUCCGGUGGUUCUGAAUGGAAGGGCCAUCGCUCAACGGAUAAAAGGUACUCCGGGGAUAACAGGCUGAUACCGCCCAAGAGUUCAUAUCGACGGCGGUGUUUGGCACCUCGAUGUCGGCUCAUCACAUCCUGGGGCUGAAGUAGGUCCCAAGGGUAUGGCUGUUCGCCAUUUAAAGUGGUACGCGAGCUGGGUUUAGAACGUCGUGAGACAGUUCGGUCCCUAUCUGCCGUGGGCGCUGGAGAAUUGAGGGGGGCUGCUCCUAGUACGAGAGGACCGGAGUGGACGCAUCACUGGUGUUCGGGUUGUCAUGCCAAUGGCACUGCCCGGUAGCUAAAUGCGGAAGAGAUAAGUGCUGAAAGCAUCUAAGCACGAAACUUGCCCCGAGAUGAGUUCUCCCUGAGACUUUAAGUCUCCUGAAGGAACGUUGAAGACGACGACGUUGAUAGGCCGGGUGUGUAAGCGCAGCGAUGCGUUGAGCUAACCGGUACUAAUGAACCGUGAGGCUUAACCUUACAACGCCGAAG